Stomoxys calcitrans (stable fly) is the source of this 561-nucleotide long non-coding RNA. RefSeq lists it as uncharacterized. The transcript has 3 exons. NCBI's taxonomy places the organism in Eukaryota, Metazoa, Arthropoda, Insecta, Diptera, Muscidae. The record is from RefSeq and is a predicted model, not a curated record.
GUUGAAGUUGAGCUGUCAAGCGUUCAGUAGUAAAUGUAAAAAAGCUUUCAACGAGUAGCGGCACAGUUUCUGCACCCAAGGUAAACAAAGUCUUAAAAAAAUAAUAUGACAGCUCAUUUGGCUUUGGAAAAAAAUCACAUAUCAGCUGAUUCUGUUACGCUAGUUUGGCAAAUAAAUAUAGAGGAACAAAAACAAUAAGUGUGUUCGUGUACUUAAAAAUUUGUGUCAAUUUGCACAAAUUGUAACUGUAAGUCGUUCGCGUACUUAAUUUGCCAGCAGUAGAGAAAGAGCAAAAUUUUGAGAGUUUGGUAAUUGACGGGAUGCACUAAUAAGUAAAUCGAAAUAUCAAAGGCUUGAUAUCACAGCUGUAAUAUUUUCCAAUAUAUUAAAUGUGUUCUAUUUGAUCCGAUAUUCCACAAAUAAGCAACAAAAUAGUGUUAUAAUGAUAACAAUACAAAAAUGGAACAUAUUUGUAGAAUAUAAGUUGUAAUAGAAAGUUUUUUCUAAAACCCCUCUGACAUUUCAAUUUACGGCAUUUGCUACUCAAGGUAGUUUCGUUGG